RNAcentral lists this ribosomal RNA (326 nucleotides) under uncultured cyanobacterium. RNAcentral's name for it is "bacterial SSU rRNA". It matches the Rfam family "Bacterial small subunit ribosomal RNA", at positions 8 to 339 of the family's 1533-position model. The record is from RNAcentral. Lineage: Bacteria; Bacillati; Cyanobacteriota.
AGAGUUUGACAUGGCUCAGGACGAACGCUGGCGGCGUGCUUCAUACAUGCAAGUCGAACGAGAAAUUACCUUCGGGUAAUGGAAAGUGGCGGACGGGUGAGUAAUAUGUAGAGAAUCUGCCCUAGAGAGAGGGACAACAGAGGGAAACUCCUGCUAAUACCUCAUAUGCGCGUAGCUGAGAUGCUAUUCGUGAAAACUCCGGUGCUCUAGGAUGAGUCUGCAUCUGAUUAGCUAGUUGGCGGUGUAAUGGACCACCAAGGCGACGAUCAGUAGCUGGUUUGAGAGGAUGAUCAGCCACAAUGGGACUGAGACACGGCCCAUACUCC